This 180-nucleotide long non-coding RNA is filed under the name Chinchilla lanigera (long-tailed chinchilla). Its description in RNAcentral is "lncRNA (ENSCLAG00000023170.1)". The record is from RNAcentral. Lineage: Eukaryota; Metazoa; Chordata; Mammalia; Rodentia; Chinchillidae.
CCCAGACUCCUGACCCUCAAGCUCCUGGCCCUGAGUUACAACAGGCCAAGCACACGCAAUCUGCAGACCUAGUGCAUGGACAACAGAGCAGGCACUAAGCCUCCUGCAUCAGCUUUCCGACAGAAUUCACCUGCCACAUCUGUCAUCACAAGAGGCCAAGGAAUGUCACCUGUUCGGUGA